This 503-nucleotide ribosomal RNA is filed under the name uncultured bacterium. RNAcentral's name for it is "partial 16S ribosomal RNA". The record is from RNAcentral.
GGAGUUAGCCGGUGCUUCUUCUGUGAGUGAUGUCCUUCCUGCCGGCUAUUAACCCGCAGGCCUUCUUCCUCACUGAAAGUGCUUUACAACCCGAAGGCCUUCUUCACACACGCGGCAUGGCUGGAUCAGGGUUGCCCCCAUUGUCCAAUAUUCCCCACUGCUGCCUCCCGUAGGAGUCUGGGCCGUGUCUCAGUCCCAGUGUGGCUGAUCAUCCUCUCAGACCAGCUACGGAUCGUCGCCUUGGUGAGCCGUUACCUCACCAACCAGCUAAUCCGACAUAGGCUCAUCCGAUAGCGCGAGGCCCGAAGGUCCCCCGCUUUCCCCCGUAGGGCGUAUGCGGUAUUAGCCUGGGUUUCCCCAGGUUAUCCCCCACUACCGGGCAGAUUCCUAUGCAUUACUCACCCGUCCGCCGCUCGCCACCAGGAGCAAGCUCCCGUGCUGCCGCUCGACUUGCAUGUGUAGCUGCCGCAGCGUCAUCUGACGCCAGAACUACCGAACCCUGA